GUUAGAGAGUAACAGAUCAGAGGUAUUAAAGGAUGUUUAACUGGUUAGAGAGUAACAGAUCAGAGGUAUUAAAGGAUGUUUAACAGGUUAGAGAGUAACAGAUCAGAGGUAUUAAAGGAUGUUUAACAGGUUAGAGAGUAACAGAUCAGAGGUAUUAAAGGAUGUUUAACUGGUUAGAGAGUAACAGAUCAGAGGUAUUAAAGGAUGUUUAACUGGUUAGAGAGUAACAGAUCAGAGGUAUUAAAGGAUGUUUAACUGGUUAGUAAUGUGGAGUUCAGCUCAGCUAAUAUCACUGAAGAUUAAACAUUAAAUAGGCUAUCCUAAAUGGAAGCUAGUUUGCCAUUACUGAU
Molecule: long non-coding RNA, 350 nt
Organism: Dicentrarchus labrax (European seabass)
Lineage: Eukaryota; Metazoa; Chordata; Actinopteri; Moronidae
Exons: 3
Source: RefSeq, a predicted model, not a curated record